UACGUAGGUGGCAAGCGUUAUCCGGAUUUACUGGGUGUAAAGGGCGUGUAGGCGGGAUUGCAAGUCAGGCGUGAAAACUAUGGGCUCAACCCAUAGCCUGCGUUUGAAACUGUAGUUCUUGAGUGCUGGAGAGGCAAUCGGAAUUCCGUGUGUAGCGGUGAAAUGCGUAGAUAUACGGAGGAACACCAGUGGCGAAGGCGGAUUGCUGGACAGUAACUGACGCUGAGGCGCGAAAGCGUGGGGAGCAAACAGG
RNAcentral lists this ribosomal RNA (253 nucleotides) under uncultured bacterium. RNAcentral describes it as "partial 16S ribosomal RNA". It matches the Rfam family "Bacterial small subunit ribosomal RNA", at positions 524 to 776 of the family's 1533-position model. The record is from RNAcentral.